This 449-nucleotide ribosomal RNA is filed under the name uncultured bacterium. RNAcentral describes it as "partial 16S ribosomal RNA". It matches the Rfam family "Bacterial small subunit ribosomal RNA", at positions 354 to 796 of the family's 1533-position model. The record is from RNAcentral.
GUCGAGAAUCUUUCACAAUGGGGGCAACCCUGAUGGAGCGACGCCGCGUGGAGGAUAAGGUCUUCGGAUUGUAAACUCCUGUCAUGCGUGAACAAGGUUGCUUGGUUAAUACCUGGGCAAAUUGAUGGUAACGCAAGAGGAAGAGACGGCUAACUCUGUGCCAGCAGCCGCGGUAAUACAGAGGUCUCAAGCGUUGUUCGGAAUCACUGGGCGUAAAGGGUGCGUAGGUGGCGUGGUAAGUCAGAUGUGAAAGCCAGGGGCUCAACCUCGGAACUGCAUCCGAUACUGCCAUGCUAGAGUACUGGAGAGGUGACUAGAAUUCUCGGUGUAGCAGUGAAAUGCGUAGAUAUCGAGAGGAAUACCAAAGGCGUAGGCAGGUCACUGGACAGUUACUGACACUGAGGCACGAAGGCCAGGGGAGCGAACGGGAUUAGAAACCCGGGUAGUCC